AUUCCACAAAUUAAAGCAUCUCAAAAAGAUCUAGAAAUGGCUCAACCUAAAGUUAACAUAAUAACUCUCUCUGCUGUCCUUCUUUGCUUUCUUCUCAUGUUUGCUUCUGAGACACAAAUAACAGAAGCAAAACACUGUGGGAAGCAUAGCAAGAGCUGGAAUGGGAAGUGUUUCCACAAUAAAUGUAACCAUUGGUGCAUGAAGAAUGAAGAUGCUAAAUAUGGCAGUUGCUCCCAUGGAGAUUGCUACUGCUACUACCAUUGUUGAAAACAAUCCAUAAAUAUAUAGCCAUUAAUUUCACAUGGCAAUAUCUAUCUUAUUAUGUAAUACAUAUAUGAAUAAACAAUGCUGCUAUAUAUUAAUUACUAAAUGGUUAUUAUAUAUUAUAGCAGCAGUGGUGCCAUUAUCUAUAAUGGUGAUCACUUAUUAUGUCUCUCUUAUGUGAGUGUGUUUGAUAUAUACUAUUUCCAGUCAUUUACCUUUGAA
Molecule: long non-coding RNA, 486 nt
Organism: Solanum dulcamara
Lineage: Eukaryota; Viridiplantae; Streptophyta; Magnoliopsida; Solanales; Solanaceae
Exons: 2
Source: RefSeq, a predicted model, not a curated record